AGUGAACGCUGGCGGUAGGCCUAGCACAUGCAAGUCGAACGGCAACACAGUAAGAGCUUGCUCUUACGGGUGGCGAGUGGCGGACGGGUGAGGAAUACAUCGGAAUCUACUUUUUCGUGGGGGAUAACGUAGGGAAACUUAAGCUAAUACCGCAUACGACCUAAGGGUGAAAGCAGGGGAGCUUCGGACCUUGCGCGAUUGAAUGAGCCGAUGUCGGAUUAGCUAGUUGGCGGGGUAAAGGCCCACCAAGGCGACGAUCCGUAGCCGGUCUGAGAGGAUGAUCAGCCACACUGGAACUGAGACACGGUCCAGACUCCUACGGGAGGCAGCAGUGGGGAAUAUUGGACAAUGGGCGCAAGCCUGAUCCAGCCAUACCGCGUGGGUGAAGAAGGCCUUCGGGUUGUAAAGCCCUUUUGUUGGGAAAGAAAAGCAGCAGGUUAAUACCCCGCUGUUCUGACGGUACCCAAAGAAUAAGCACCGGCUAACUUCGUG
This 492-nucleotide ribosomal RNA is filed under the name uncultured bacterium. Its description in RNAcentral is "partial 16S ribosomal RNA". It matches the Rfam family "Bacterial small subunit ribosomal RNA", at positions 29 to 507 of the family's 1533-position model. The record is from RNAcentral.